AUGACUAGCCGAGUCGAUUUAGCCAUAUCUUACAUUUGCAAGAUUCUUCUAAUCACUUCUAGAACCUGAGUAAUGUAUAUCUAUUAGGCGACGUUUUCUAUUGUUUUAGUUUUAUUGUCCAUGACAGCAACAUAUCUGUGCCAUGUAUAAUCAAUGUUUGAAUAUUGCUUUUACCAUAAAUAACUUAGUUUCCGAAAGCAUAGUCCCGACUUCAAAAACCUCACCGAAAGAAUGCACUGAGCUUAGAAUUUUCUAACCACAAACAAUCGAUGUUUUUGCUGCUGAUUUCCAUUUGCAUUUUCCGACGCUGGCUUCAUUAGCCAGCACCCAAGUAAAUCAAGUUUGCCUGCAAACGUAGCAGAAAAAUUUAAAUGAUAUGUGUGCACAUCUGAACCAAGUAUUUUUCUUUCACAUACGCAAGCACACUCACCUGAAAAAAGGGGUAAAAUAAAGCUGCCAACUCGGCAGUUGUUGUUGCACUGCAAUGCAUUUAAGUAAAAUGAAUUGCUUGCAAUUUAUUUUUGUUGCUUAUCAUAUAAAUUGCACUCGCUCGCCUGCAAGUCAUUAUUUGGCACAUUUGCGCUCAAUGAGUGCACAUUGUUUCUACAACGUCCUCCAACCGUAUCCCUCGUCCACAGUGUUAAAUAGGAGUGACGAACCGGAAGAUUCCAGAUACAACAACUGCUGACCCAGUGGGGUUUGGGUGGCCAAAAUAUACCUGAUCGGUUGGUCUUUUGCACUUGACUGCAUCCUUAACCUUUUGCAGGAGCUGAAUUCGAAGACACCUGAAAGUGCCACUUGAGCAUUUUCAGAUUCUUUAUUUACCACCACUUGGGCACUCCGCCCAACGCCCACCCAAAUAAAUUUCCGGUUUGUUUUCCACAUUUUUGAUUUACGUAUUGCUGUGUGGAGUGAAUCGAAAAUAUACAUCUUAACAUCUAAAAGUGCAUGUCGAUCUUUAUCAAAUAAAGUCAGUAAGGAAAGUGUUUUCACUAUAUUUUUUUUUUCAAAGAGCUAAGAGUACAUACACUGCAAAAUUUAAAUUGCAAGCAAUAAACACCAUUAAUAUAAUUUACAUUAUAAGUUAUAAUUAUUUCCAAGCAUUUGCUAACAUUUACAUGCAACAUUUUUAUAACAAUCGCUUGUUAGGUCAAAUUCCAAGAACCUUUGUUAUCAAUGAUGCUAAAAACCAUAUACACAAUUUCACAAGAAAUCUUGGCCCCUAAAUACAAAUUUUAAUCGCAUUGAAUGUCGACACAAAAAAAUGGAAACAAUAAAUCAGCACACCGAAAAAAAAGGAUUAAUUUGAAAUCAGAAAAAAAACCAUUCACAUGGACUCAAAAGUAUCAAUAAUUUAAAGGGUACCUUUGUGUGUGAAAAUUUGUGAAUUAAAAAUUGUAUCUCCAUUUAAUAUGAUAUUUGAAUGGUUUGUCUACAUCUCAGAUGCUUUUUUUUAAAUUCGCUUUCGUUUCAAGUGCAUGUUUCGAAAAUGGUAAAGUAAUCAUUGGGUUUCCCAAUCGUUUGGUAUAUAAGCAUGCCCUGCGGCUCCCAGCAGAUUCAUAGCAACAAUUUUAAUUGGUGACGAUGGACCUUAAGUGCUGCCUGCUUUUGCUAUCGCUUCUGUUUGCCGGGGCUUUGGGUCGCCCAGAGCCAGACGCGCCACGCCCAACUCUACCGCCCUGCUCGCCGUGGUGCGCCGGACAGCCCCCACCGCCCCCCGGAGCAGUGAACUAAUUUGUCUUGUCAUUCCGAUUGUAACACAAAGAAAUACCAUUUUAUAAUACCUCUAAAUAUCUAGCCAGCCGAACAAAUAAAGGUACUGAGCGACAAUCAAUCUUAA
Molecule: long non-coding RNA, 1840 nt
Organism: Drosophila simulans
Lineage: Eukaryota; Metazoa; Arthropoda; Insecta; Diptera; Drosophilidae
Exons: 2
Source: RefSeq, a predicted model, not a curated record